Molecule: ribosomal RNA, 270 nt
Filed under: uncultured bacterium
Lineage: Bacteria
Description: partial 16S ribosomal RNA
Rfam family: Bacterial small subunit ribosomal RNA
Source: RNAcentral
AAUACCGCAUAAGCGCACAGGGCCGCAUGGUCUGGUGUGAAAAACUCCGGUGGUGUAAGAUGGACCCGCGUCUGAUUAGGUAGUUGGUGGGGUAACGGCCCACCAAGCCGACGAUCAGUAGCCGACCUGAGAGGGUGACCGGCCACAUUGGGACUGAGACACGGCCCAAACUCCUACGGGAGGCAGCAGUGGGGAAUAUUGGACAAUGGGCGAAAGCCUGAUCCAGCGACGCCGCGUGAGUGAAGAAGUAUUUCGGUAUGUAAAGCUCUA